CCCUUAGAUGUUCUGGGCCGCACGCGCGCUACACUGAUGCAUUCAACAAGCCUAGCCUUGACCGAGAGGUCCGGGUAAUCUUUGAAACUGCAUCGUGAUGGGGCUAGAUUAUUGCAAUUAUUAAUCUUCAACGAGGAAUGCCUAGUAAGCGUGAUUCAUCAAAUCGCGUUGAUUACGUCCCUGCCCUUUGUACACACCGCCCGUCGCUCCUACCGAUUGAAUGUGUUGGUGAGGAGCUCGGAUUGGCAGCAGUUGGUGGUUCGCCACCGGCUAUUGCUGAGAAGUCCUCCAAACCGCCCCAUGUAGAGGAAGGAGAAGUCGUAACA
This 326-nucleotide ribosomal RNA is filed under the name uncultured eukaryote. RNAcentral describes it as "partial 18S ribosomal RNA". It matches the Rfam family "Eukaryotic small subunit ribosomal RNA", at positions 1470 to 1796 of the family's 1831-position model. The record is from RNAcentral.